Eucalyptus grandis is the source of this 1197-nucleotide long non-coding RNA. RefSeq lists it as uncharacterized. Lineage: Eukaryota; Viridiplantae; Streptophyta; Magnoliopsida; Myrtales; Myrtaceae. The record is from RefSeq and is a predicted model, not a curated record. The transcript has 2 exons.
AUGGAAAACUUGAAAGUGAGCAAAGCUGCUGGUUUCAAUGCACUUGCACGUAUUUAUUAUGUGGACAAUUUUUAGGUGGACUUUAUCUUUGUGGAUUGAAUUAGAGAAACUUGUCAUAAAAUGUGCUUUUCAUGCGAUUUUAUUGCUUACAGCAAAGACAUGACUUUUACGUAUAUUUAGCGUAGGAAAUUAUUGACCUACAAUGGAUUUGACAAUAUGAUUUAUGCAUCUUUAUGGUGGGAGGAAAAUGCAGCACCUACAGGAGUAAGAACGUCUUUGAUAAUAAUAUAAUGGAAGAUUUACAAGCUGGUUAGAGCCACAUUUAUCUAUUUAACAAAAUGGUUUUUAAGUGGAUAUGAAUGGAAGUGGUCAUUCUGUACUCUGGUCCAAAUUGUGUGGCUUGACUUUGCUUGCCAUCUGAAAAGAAUUUUUAUUGCUACCAGUCAAUCAACCUAUCGUCUACCGGUCGGUCAAUAAUAAUUCAAGACUGUCGUCUACUACUGAUUGAUCCCCCGCUCUCUCUCUCUCUCUCUCUCUCUCUCUCUCUCUUGCUCACUUUAUCUUUCGCAUUCGGCCUCUCUCUUGCAAACAAUUUGAGACUGUCGUCCACUGGUCAGUCCUCACUCGCUUUCUCUGUUCUUUUUCCCCCUUGAAAGUUCCUGCCCAGGCUUGCUUAGGGUCUUCUCUCACCGGUCUCGCGCCUCUCUUCGUAUCUUAGCUCGCGGAAGCAGGAGAGCAUCUUUCUCUCCAACUUUCCCUCUCAGAUUGCCAUCGACAAAGGGCGGAGUCACACUGAAACAAACGAAGGGAUGCACCCUUUAAUAAUGGGGCGUUCUCCCGGGGCUUGCCGCGACGAUUCUUUUUAGUAUGCUUGCAUUCUAUCUUGUCAAGAAGAAGAGAGCAUCCACACCUUCGAAAAUCUCUCCAACACUCGAAGGAAUACGUAAUGAUCAUUAUGAUGUGUUCUUGAGCUUUAGAGGGUCAGAUACCCGCAAGGGAUUCACCGAUCACCUCUAUCACAGUCUAGUCAAGGUAGGGAUUGCACCAGUUUUUGUGUUCAAGGAUGAUAAGAGCAUCCAAAUUGGCGAGGAAUUCGGUCCACAAAUUCUCGAAUGCCAUCGCUCGGUCUAAGAUUUCGAUUCUCAUCAUCUCCGAAAAUUAUGCUUCAAGCAAAUGGUGCCUCCGCGAGCUUAUUCA